Molecule: ribosomal RNA, 468 nt
Filed under: uncultured bacterium
Lineage: Bacteria
Description: partial 16S ribosomal RNA
Rfam family: Bacterial small subunit ribosomal RNA
Source: RNAcentral
GACGAACGCUGGCGGCGUGCUUAACACAUGCAAGUCGAACGGAAAGGCCCUGCUUUUGUGGGGUGCUCGAGUGGCGAACGGGUGAGUAACACGUGAGUAACCUGCCCUUGACUUUGGGAUAACUUCAGGAAACUGGGGCUAAUACCGGAUAGGAGCUCCUGCUGCAUGGUGGGGGUUGGAAAGUUUCGGCGGUUGGGGAUGGACUCGCGGCUUAUCAGCUUGUUGGUGGGGUAGUGGCUUACCAAGGCUUUGACGGGUAGCCGGCCUGAGAGGGUGACCGGCGACAUUGGGACUGUGAUACGGCCCAGACGCCUACGGGAGGCAGCAGUGGGGAAUAUUGCACAAUGGGCGGAAGCCUGAUGCAGCAACGCCGCGUGCGGGAUGACGGCCUUCGGGUUGUAAACCGCUUUCGCCUGUGACGAAGCGUGAGUGACGGUAAUGGGUAAAGAAGCACCGGCUAACUACGUG